CUCACGUCAGUAUUUUGCAAUACAGAUUGUAAUUCAUUACACUUUGGUGUAUAGUGAAUAAAACCUGUGUAUUUUUAUAUAUUGUCUAUGAUGCAGGCAGGGAUGUGAUGCAGACAGCCUGCUGUUGGGUCCAUUAAGUGAGCCCAAAUUGCAGAGCAGCUCAAUACAGCAGAAUCAAACUGUAAGUAGUUUUUUUUUCUUAUUUACAGCAUUUUCUCCUCUCCAGAUUUCUUUUUUUACUGAUUGUGAUUUACAUACUGUCAUAUGAUGUCAUGCAUAUAUAAUUAAUUAUGCAAAUUUGCAUGGCUUCUAUUUUCCACAAGAAAGGUGGCAAUCCUAAG
Pelobates cultripes (western spadefoot toad) is the source of this 341-nucleotide non-coding RNA. The record is from the annotation of a GenBank genome assembly. Lineage: Eukaryota; Metazoa; Chordata; Amphibia; Anura; Pelobatidae.